GGCCUCGUAGCUCAGAUGGCUAGAGCGUUGGCUGUGCUAAAGACUACCUCUUGCUGGCAUGGGUUCAAAUCCCACCGAAGCCA
RNAcentral lists this transfer RNA (83 nucleotides) under Schistocephalus solidus. It matches the Rfam family "tRNA". Rfam says of the family: Transfer RNA (tRNA) molecules are approximately 80 nucleotides in length. Their secondary structure includes four short double-helical elements and three loops (D, anti-codon, and T loops). The record is from Rfam by way of RNAcentral. Lineage: Eukaryota; Metazoa; Platyhelminthes; Cestoda; Diphyllobothriidea; Diphyllobothriidae.